UACAGGGGGGGCAAGCGUUGUUCGGAAUUACUGGGCGUAAAGGGCUCGUAGGCGGCCAAUUAAGUCCGACGUGAAAUCCCCAGGCUUAACCUGGGAACUGCGUCGGAUACUGAUUGGCUUGAAUCCGGGAGAGGGAUGCGGAAUUCCAGGUGUAGCGGUGAAAUGCGUAGAUAUCUGGAGGAAUACCGGUGGCGAAGGCGGCAUCCUGGACCGACAUUGACGCUGAGAACCGAAAGCUAGGGGAGCAAACGGG
RNAcentral lists this ribosomal RNA (253 nucleotides) under uncultured bacterium. RNAcentral's name for it is "partial 16S ribosomal RNA". It matches the Rfam family "Bacterial small subunit ribosomal RNA", at positions 524 to 776 of the family's 1533-position model. The record is from RNAcentral.